ACGACUCGGGCUCUUUUUUUUUCCUUUUUUUCUUUUCUCUUUUUUUUUUCUACUGCUGGGCUAGGCUAGCUGCUGCUGGCCUGCUUGCUACUGGGCUGGGCGCUGUUGGGCCUGCUGCUACUGCUAGGUUGGCCUGCUAGGCGCUGCUGGGCCUAGACUGGAGUGGGCCUGCUAGGUGCUAGGUCAGACCUCUGCUGGGCUGCUUGCUAUUGGGCCUCUGCUGGGUUAGGCCUGCUGCCUUUUAUUUUUUUUCUUUUUUUUGGGUCGUAUCUGGGCUUACUAAAAAUGGGCCUGCUGGAUGUUGAGUUGGGCGCUGGGUUGGAACGGAUUGUGGGUCGGGUCAGAUCCAAGUCAGGUCAGGUCGGGUCGACCCGACUGCUCUUUAUUUUUUUCUUAUUUUUUUCUUUUUCUUCUUCUUCCUUUCUUUUCUUUUUCCUCUUUUCAAACCCUAGACCAUUUUUUUCGCCGCCGAUUCUUGCUCUCGGUGGUGCAACAGCGGUCGCAGUGGUAAAGGGCGGCAGUGGGCACGACCGUGCUAUUUUUUUGAUUUUUUUCUUUUUUUCUUGCACUCUUUUGAUUUUUUUUUCCUUUGGCUUACUUGUGUUUGGCGAUAGUGGUGUGACGGCUGAGUGGUAAAGGGCGACAGUGGGUACAACGGUGAGGCAGCGUGUUUUUUUUUUGCUACUGUUUUUGUUGUUUUUUUUCCUUUGAUUUUGUUUGCUUUUUUGUUCUUUUUUUUGUUGAUUGGCUCCUUUUUUUGUUACUUCUUGGUGUUUUAUUGCUGAUUUUCUUUCCUUGCAGGUAGAACCUGAGGAGGUGGGCUACCACCCAUACCGACCGCCGGAAAUCGCAGAGCGUAGGUGCGCAAAUUGUGCCCUUGUGCUAGAAGGACUAGAUUGUAAAUGUGAAAAAAUUUUGGGGCCAAAAUGUAAUUUUAUGAAAAUUUAAGGUUAAAAGGUAAUUUUAGGAAAAUUAAG
RNAcentral lists this long non-coding RNA (977 nucleotides) under Gossypium raimondii (Peruvian cotton). RNAcentral describes it as "long non-coding RNA (GRAI_LNC011198)". The record is from RNAcentral. Lineage: Eukaryota; Viridiplantae; Streptophyta; Magnoliopsida; Malvales; Malvaceae.